AAGUCGAACGAGAGAGAAGGAGCUUGCUUCUUCGAUCGAGUGGCGAACGGGUGAGUAACGCGUGAGGAACCUGCCUCAAAGAGGGGGACAACAGUUGGAAACGACUGCUAAUACCGCAUAAGCCCACGGGUCGGCAUCGAUCUGAGGGAAAAGGAGCAAUCCGCUUUGAGAUGGCCUCGCGUCCGAUUAGCUAGUUGGUGAGGUAACGGCCCACCAAGGCGACGAUCGGUAGCCGGACUGAGAGGUUGAACGGCCACAUUGGGACUGAGACACGGCCCAGACUCCUACGGGAGGCAGCAGUGGGGAAUAUUGCACAAUGGGGGAAACCCUGAUGCAGCGACGCCGCGUGGAGGAAGAAGGUCUUCGGAUUGUAAACUCCUGUUGUUGAGGAAGAUAAUGACGGUACUCAACAAGGAAGUGACGGCUAACUACGUGCCAGCAGCCGCGGUAAAACGUAGGUCACAAGCGUUGUCCGGAAUUACUGGGUGUAAAGGGAGCGCAGGCGGGAAGGCAAGUUGGAAGUGAAAUCUAUGGGCUCAACCCAUAAACUGCUUUCAAAACUGUUUUUCUUGAGUAGUGCAGAGGUAGGCGGAAUUCCCGG
Molecule: ribosomal RNA, 601 nt
Filed under: uncultured Lachnospiraceae bacterium
Lineage: Bacteria; Bacillati; Bacillota; Clostridia; Lachnospirales; Lachnospiraceae
Description: bacterial SSU rRNA
Rfam family: Bacterial small subunit ribosomal RNA
Source: RNAcentral